Molecule: long non-coding RNA, 1383 nt
Filed under: Rhopalosiphum maidis (corn leaf aphid)
Lineage: Eukaryota; Metazoa; Arthropoda; Insecta; Hemiptera; Aphididae
Description: uncharacterized LOC113549400
Source: RNAcentral
AUUCCGUUUUUCAUAAAAUCUAUAUGAAUUACAGUCCACUAUCACCGCACAGCUAGUGCAGUACUGUUUCAAGACGACCAGCAGUAACCACUAGCCACAAUCGAUCGGCCGUGAGCAGACAAUAUUACCUGUUGAACGUGGACGACGACGGAACGCGACGCAGCUGAUACGAUGAGAACUGUGAAGAUGCUUCCUCGGCAGUGGUCGCGGGUACAGUUGUCACAGUGUUUCAACUCGUUGAGCUCGAGAUGAUUUUGUUCGUGAUAUUUGCGACGGUUUCCGUUGAAGCUCAUAUUGUAUAUAUGUCAAUGUCGUCCAUACACGUGAUCACUGCCGUCUGUCCUCGAUCGACAUAGUCGUCACUCGUCGUCGAACAACUGUCAACCAACUACAGUGUGCUUGUGCAAGUCUCGUGAUCCUGAAUUUUUGUGAAUGCCACCGGCAGGUUAUUGAUCGUUUUCGACACGUCGUACUGAUUCUUCAUUCGGAGACAACAACGGGUCGAGACGCACACACAUGUCAUCAGCAAUCAUGAUACACCGGCAAUAAUUCGUUGGUGGUGACGGUCCGUCGGGUCGAGGCGACGGUCUAUAAUAAUAAGAACCGAUCCAAAUCUCUCCUGCACAUGGUGUACUUCGGUGAAUUGACGAUCGCUGCGAAAAUUGCCCGUCACUAGGCGACUAACGCGGUGGGCUCGCACACCACGACGCUGUAUUACGUUAUUUGUCUCGUUUUUUUUGUCUUUUCGACGAUAAGUAUAGUGAUAAGACAAACAUUAUAAAUUAAAUACUUUUGAUGAUUGUAUUGAUAUUAUGAUUUAAUUAAAUCUAAGUAACAAGGCUAGGUACUUAUGACUAAUAUAUUAACGAUUUAAAAAUCAUAUAAAUUGUAUUCGCCGUCAUCUCUAAGUUUUAGAAAAUUUGUGUAGAAUGUCGUACCAUGUUUAUACUUUAUUCUGAAUAUUAAUUCUAAUAAUAAUGUUUUAUUAUGCGAUCGUUCUUUCGAUAUUAUACAACACUAAGUUUAUAAAAUAUAUCCUCAUGACUUAUGUAUUUUGGUAGUAUCCGGAGUCGAGACAUUGCUUAACUCGCUAUUACAUUGAGUCGUUUGUUUUACCAUUCUUUACUUAAGGUACUCUCCGAGUGCUUUAUCUUAUUAAAUACAUAUACAACAAAUUAUGACUAACGAAAAUUAGAUAUAACUGAAACUACGAAUUAUUUAUGGCAUAACACAGUGUACGCGGACGGGACAAGGUUAAAAAGAAUAUUUAGUAUAUGGCAUAGUCACCUCGAAAUAUAAUAUUCUCUAAAGUCUUGGCCGGUCGGAGGUGGAAGAAUAUUGCGAACGUUUUUUUUUUUUUUUUUACUGUGCGUAACGAUUGUA